UACGGAGGAUUCGAGCGUUAUCCGGAUUUAUUGGGUUUAAAGGGUGCGUAGGCGGCCUUUUAAGUCAGCGGUGAAAGUCUGUGGCUCAACCAUAGAAUUGCCGUUGAAACUGGGGGGCUUGAGUAUGUUUGAGGCAGGCGGAAUGCGUGGUGUAGCGGUGAAAUGCAUAGAUAUCACGCAGAACCCCGAUUGCGAAGGCAGCCUGCCAAGCCAUUACUGACGCUGAUGCACGAAAGCGUGGGGAUCAAACAGG
Molecule: ribosomal RNA, 253 nt
Filed under: Parabacteroides distasonis
Lineage: Bacteria; Pseudomonadati; Bacteroidota; Bacteroidia; Bacteroidales; Tannerellaceae
Description: partial 16S ribosomal RNA
Rfam family: Bacterial small subunit ribosomal RNA
Source: RNAcentral